Molecule: long non-coding RNA, 3772 nt
Filed under: Olea europaea subsp. europaea
Lineage: Eukaryota; Viridiplantae; Streptophyta; Magnoliopsida; Lamiales; Oleaceae
Source: RNAcentral
AGCGUCUCUGCCUCACUGUCUUCGUCUUCUUUACCUGUUCAUCUGUGUCUUCAUCUUCAACGCUCUUCGACAUCAUUCAACUGCGUCACUAGGCCUGGACCCUUAACCUACAACCUGCAAAGCCGACCCAAUCCGAAUAAGAAUCGGGAAACCCUAUUUUGUGAUAACUCUGUGUGCUCAAACGUGAAGACCCUUCAUUCUCUUAGAGGUUCAAAAGCUUGCCUCCCUUGUCUCUCUGGAAAAAUUGGUGGUCAUCAAUUUGAAGGACAUCCCUUGUUACUGUCUUUCAAGGCAAUCUCUUAACUUUCUCAUAGUUUGAAAAUAAUUUAUUGGAUUUUGCCUCCAGUAUCGUUCCUAUUCAGACUACUCUUCUUGAGAAAAUGGUGGUUAUUUCUUUAGUUUUACUUGGUUCUCCAACUCUUUCUCUAUCGACUUCGAUUUGUGCAGUCCACCAAUUUAUCUAUAGAGUUGUUUUUGGACAGCCUCCUUUGUAUUUGUCUUUGCAGGUUACUUUUUAAUUCCUAUAUAUAUAUUUUUUCAAUGUUUGGUCUAAUUUUUUUAUUUUAUUUUAUGUAAUUUUUAAUCUUAAUUUAUGAAAAAAUUUCAAAUUAUAAACCUGUUCUUAGUAAAAAGAUUUUAUUUUUCGAUUUUAAUUGAUUGUGUUGUAUAAAUGACAAAUAUUAUUUCAUUGAAAAUUCCUUCUUAAAAUGAUAGAAAGUAGUAUUGCUUAAAAACCUUUCAUGGAGGGUAAUUGAUAAUUUUAUUCUUGUCGACCAAACCACCUUUUGCAUGUUUAAAUUGUAUGGAACUCUAAUGUCAAUCAAGGUAUUUGGUAGAUUUGGAUCGAUUGAGCUCCUGAAGGAUUAAUAUUCAUUUAAGCUUUAAAGAAUGUUGCACAAAGCAUAAAUCAGUUUGUAUUAGCUUUAUAUUGAUUUUUGUCCAGUUGUAAGGAAAAAAAUCAAUAGGCGGAAAAUAAUAAUUGGCAAGAAUAUGGGGACUGUUGAAAAACUCAUCUUUUUGCUGGAAUUAUUAGCAGUCUUAAAUGGGUUCUACGUCCAUUCAAAAAGAAAAGAAAAAAUUGAAAUGGGUUUUUAAAGAAAGGCUGGAAAUAUCUGAUUAAAGGGUUCUUGAUUUUGUGUUUCUGUUAUUUUGAAAUAUAAUUAGCUCUAAUAGGAUUAAGAGCUGAUAUAGAUAACUGAAAUGAUGUUUCUACAGGAAGCCGGACUAAAUUUGCGAAAAUUGAAACGAAGGGAUGCAUCGUGGAUCUGGCAAACAAUUUCUUUGACAUCACUUGCAUGCGAAUUGAGGUGCAUUUCCAUCACUAGUUUGACUCAAUAUUUGAUUUUGGAUAAAAAAUAGAUUCCAUUUCAUUUAUGAUGCAAGAUAUGAUUAGAGCUGUAGGUUCUUUCUUUUCUUGAAAUUGUUACCUCACUUUAUUUCAUUUAAUUUCCUAUCUAACAUUUGAGAGAAAAAAAUAUGUAUAACCGAUUCAUGUUUUAGAUUUGAAGGAACCUUUCAAUUUUCAGAAAGGGUGAUGUUGUAGGCCAGAAUUGGUCUAGGCAGAGCUCUAGGUGAACCUAUCAACUGGACAAAGAAUUAUAGCUCGCCUUUAACAGCCUUAUUCAUUAGACCGCAUUCUCGUGGAAGCAAAAUAUCAGGUAUGAUAUUUAGGGCGACUUAAUCUAAUCCACUUUCCUUACAAUAUGAAUCUUAUGCUCCCACACAUUUGUUUGUAUUAGAAAUUAUCGAGUUUACUUUACAAUUUGAAUUGUUGCUAUUCAAUGUUUGAUAGUAUCAUAAUAGACAAAGAAUGGCUGCAAUUAUCAAGGUUAUUAUCUAUAAUAAAAUCUUAUAAAUCUAGUUACAAAAUCUAAACAAUAAUAUCAAUUGAUCAUAAAAUUGUUGUCGUAGAUUUUCAGAACAAUACAGAGAUAGAGCACGAAAUUUUGUUGAACUAGCUUGUGAAAAUCUAAAUUCAGGAAUGAUAAGAUGCCCUUGUAUUAUGUAUAAGAAUCUAAAGCAUCAUUAUUAUGAAACAUUGUAUGAGCAUUUGGUUAUUAAGGGUAUAGAUUCUACAUAUACUGUUUGGGUAUUUAAUGGAGAGCGACCAAAUAAAUCAAAUUUGGUUGAUGUAGAAAUGCCCGAGUCAUGUAGGAUAUUUAGGGACUUCUAUGCAUAACAUGAUGUACAUCCUGAAAAUCCUCAUGAUGGAACAGGGGAAGACAUUCAACGUUUAGUUAGUGAUGCGAAAAUCCUUUUGUAUCCUAGUUGUAUGGCAUUUACGAAGAUGUCAGCUUCAGUUGCUAUGUUUAAAUAUAAAGCUACACAUGAUCUAUCAAAUAGUGGUUUCGAUGAACUCAUAAAUCUUGUGCUGGGCAUGCUGUCACAGAAUAAUACACUUUCUAACUCAUUUUAUGAUAUGAAAAACUUGUCAAAGCAUUUGAUCUUACCUAUGAUAAGAUACAUGUUUACUUGAAUGGUUGUUGUCUAUAUAGGAAGGAGCUUGAACAUGCAGAAUUAUGUCUAAAAUGUGGUUGUUAUAAAUAAAAAGUUAACCAAUGGACUAAGAAAUUUCAAAAAAAUAAAAAUAAAAUUCUAGCAAAAGUCUUGUAUUAUUUCCCUAUCAUACCAAGAUCUAAGAGGAUGUUCGGAAUAGAUGGAAUGCCAACACAACUUAAAUGACACUCAAAUAAUAAAAGUUUCUUUUUUGAUAUAAUGUUUAUUUAACAAUCCAUAUGGAAGAGAAGCUUGUCUAUGUGGAUCAGUUCAAUAUUGUUGGAUGUACCCAUUUGAGAGGUGGUAUUCCUUAACUUAUCAUAGUAGUUAAAUUCACUAUCAAAUUUAUUUUUAUUUUAUUAGAUUUUUGGAAAAUGUGUAGAUAUAUGAAAGUGUUGAAAGAAUACGUCAUGAAUCGUUCAUGACCUGAAGGAUGCAUAGCUGAAUGAUAUAUUGUUGAAAAAAAUGCAUUGUUUUGUAGCAAAUACAUUAAACAAGCAUUUGAAAUAGGCUCUAAGUUUGCGUGCAAUGAAGAAUAUGAAAGUGACUUCUUAGUUGCAGGGUGUACAAGUUCUAAAAGGAAGCCACUUGUACUAUUUGAUGAGAUGCUGAAAGUUGCCCCUUGCUAUGUGCUGCUAAAUAGUAUAGAAGUGGCUCUAUACGUAUAGUAUGUUCAUGACAUAUCUACUUUGUUAGGUUUUAAGUUCUUCGACCAUAUUAAUUUCUUGAUAUAUUGUUUUCCACUUAGGACGCAUAUGGAUGAACUCAAGAGUUUUGACAAAUGACUUCAAAGAAAUGAGAAUUUGUUGCAUAAGAAACAUAUUGACACUUUUGCUGCCUGGUUGGACGAUAAGGUUGAAGUACAUAUAUCAACAAGAUUAGUGUUUAACAUAGAUGUUUAUUCUUUUAUUCCUAACAUGUUUAUAAUAAUAACAGAUUACAGGUCAAUUGUUUCUCGACAAUGUUGCAAAUACUUUAAAGUGGCUUGCACGUGGCCCUAGAUGCCAGUCUGUCAUAUUCUAGUUUUGUAAUAAAUGGUCUUCAAUUUUACACGAAAGAUGCAGAAAAGUCUUGCCAAAAUAGUGGUAUCUUAGUUGAAGCAACAACCAUUUGUAGAUCUAGUGCAAAAGAUAAUGCACAUGUUGUUGGGAAAGUUCUUUAACAUGGAGUUCUCUUGCCUUCUUCCAUUGUUUUUCCUGUGCCUUUGUGGCUUGCAAAUCAUCACCACUAUUUUGUACUUUAUGGGUGAGAUUAAGAAGCAAUCAAGUUGAAUAUA